AUUCCUGUGUCUUCGGUAUUCCCCAUCUUAGAAGUUUAUUUGGCAUAUAUACUACUUUGUUCAUUUCUCUUGCAUUUUUCUUAUCAAACACCCAUGCUUUCAGUUUCCCAUCCCAUUCCUCAAAUUGUUUUUUAGCAAUCUUCAUAGGUAAUGUUCUAAAUAAAUUCAGAAAGGAACUUUG
Long non-coding RNA from Sphaerodactylus townsendi, 181 nucleotides. RefSeq lists it as uncharacterized. The transcript has 3 exons. The record is from RefSeq and is a predicted model, not a curated record. Lineage: Eukaryota; Metazoa; Chordata; Lepidosauria; Squamata; Sphaerodactylidae.